GAGUUAUUGUGAGAAUUAAAUUUAGUAAUGCAUAUAAAGUACAGAGGAGUGUGUGUCAUAUAACAAGUGCUCAAUAAAUGUUAUUACAGAAAGUGCUGUGCGAUGUGAUGCAAUGAAAAAUGCAAUAUGAAUUUGGAGAAGGAAAGGAUCACCAGAGGUCAGAAGGGUCUAAGGGAGAGUUCAUGAAAGAGAUUCUGCCAUCCCAAGUCGUGGUUUGAGUAGUGACCGUGGUUUCCAUCUCUGUGCCGAGUGCCGUCCAGAGCUGGGAUGUGAGCAGUUAAGAUGCUCUCAGUGACGGGGAUACAGAUGCCUGGAGAUGGUCAGGAUGGGGAGAAGGUUAAAUAAAGCAACAAAGGGCUGUGGUAGCAGCUAAAACACAUCUCCUGCCCAAUCAUGGAACAGAUAGAGGAGCAAAGAGGGGAGACGCUUCUAAGAAGAGUUUGAAGCAAUGAACCUUUUGGCACAAAGAAAUCAAGGAACAGCAUCUUCAUUCCAAACUCAGUGGUGAGCAGCAGCAGAGCUCUGAGUGGUCAGAGAGACGCUGAACUCCAAUGACUGAUACAACCUCAUGUUCUCAGGAAACAAAACAGCAGGCUCUUAACACACAAAAACAGCCCUAUGGUUUACUGUACCUUCAACUUAUACAGAAAGGACUUCUGUUCCUACAUUUCUCUACCAGGUUGUAUGUUCAGAAGGCUACUUAAGCAGUGUCAUAUAUUAUCUCAAAAACAAAAGAAUAUAUAUAUAUAUAUAUAAACACACAAUCCAGUUAUAUACUCCUUGUCUCUUGCAAGUUACUGGAACACUUAAAAUGUCCCUGUUUUCAGAGACUGAGAGUUGAGAAACUGAAAUAUCACAUCAAACUUACAGUACUCGAAUUUUGAGGCAUGUUGACAGGGAAAAUUAUUUGUAAGUCCUUUUUUUCAUUUUUGUAGUUCAUUUUUUUCCCUGCUUUUCAGAGUAAUGCAUUUUUUUAAAAUUGAAAAAAUAUAAAAAUAAAAAGCUAUGUAGUUGUUUUUAAGCAAGCAUAAAUAUGACUAUAAAACUAUGGGAUAAAAUUUUUGUGACAUUAAAAUAAGUAGUGUGGUUUGAGCGCUUUACUUUUGAAAUGAGGCUUGAUGACCUCACCCCUGCAUGCAUUGCUUAUUCCUUCCCUCCUCUCUCGUUCUCUCUCCCUCUAUUCCAUCGCCUUUUCUCCCUGUGCCCUUCUCCUGCGUAUGUGUGUAUGCAUUCUGCCCCCUGUGUUUUCCAUUUAGAUCUGUUCAUCUUAGAAAGAGGAAAUAAAUACGAAGUUGAUAUGUGACUCUGAAAACUUUACACUGUUGUUCUAUGAAAAAAAUACACUUUUAGCAUCAUAACAAUUUUCCGUUUACCCUCAGAAGAGAAUAGAAAAACCUCUAACUUCAAACUGAAAGUGCUUUUGAAAAAUUGCACAGUGGCAAUGUUUGAUGCCCACAUUAUAGCUGGAGCCAGAUAAAGCUAUAAAAUUAAUUUGAAUACUAUUGUCCCAUUCUAUAACUCCAUUGUUAGACUUAAGAGGGACUCUGAAUGAGGUUGAAUUCAGAGUAUUAGGCCAUUUUCAAGAGUGCAAGACGGAUGAAAACAAAACAGAUGUCGCUUCCCGACUUGCUACACUCUUUCCCCCCGAGUGCUUUACU
Molecule: long non-coding RNA, 1658 nt
Organism: Aethalodelphis obliquidens (Pacific white-sided dolphin)
Lineage: Eukaryota; Metazoa; Chordata; Mammalia; Artiodactyla; Delphinidae
Exons: 3
Source: RefSeq, a predicted model, not a curated record